RNAcentral lists this ribosomal RNA (465 nucleotides) under uncultured bacterium. RNAcentral describes it as "partial 16S ribosomal RNA". It matches the Rfam family "Bacterial small subunit ribosomal RNA", at positions 28 to 507 of the family's 1533-position model. The record is from RNAcentral.
GACGAACGCUGGCGGCGUGCUUAACACAUGCAAGUCGUACGGUAAGGCCCUUUCGGGGGUACACGAGUGGCGAACGGGUGAGUAACACGUGAGUAACCUGCCCACAACUUUGGGAUAACGCUAGGAAACUGGUGCUAAUACUGGAUAUGUGCUCCUGCUGCAUGGUGGGGGUUGGAAAGCUCCGGCGGUUGUGGAUGGACUCGCGGCCUAUCAGCUUGUUGGUGGGGUAGUGGCCUACCAAGGCGGCGACGGGUAGCCGGCCUGAGAGGGUGACCGGCCACAUUGGGACUGAGAUACGGCCCAGACUCCGACGGGAGGCAGCAGUGGGGAAUAUUGCACAAUGGGCGCAAGCCUGAUGCAGCAACGCCGCGUGCGGGAGGACGGCCUUCGGGUUGUAAACCGCUUUCAGCAGGGACGAAGCUUUUUGUGACGGUACCUGCAGAAGAAGCACCGGCUAACUACGUG